CACUCAUAUGCUCCUAUAAAUACAAGGCCUUGGCCAGUUUUCUAAAUUUAACAAAAAAGAAAGAAUAUACGCCACUUUCCAUCUUCUUACAAAACCACGACAUUCCAAAACAACCACAAUUCAUGGCUCAUCUUAACUAUCUUGGUGAUCUACAAAUACAUUCUACAAACUGGUGUGGGUUUGUGAAGGUUUGUCCAUAUGGAAGCCCAUACGCGAUUCUUUGGGGAAGAGGAAGGAGAUGAUAUUAGUUAAUACAAGUGUAAUAAUCUUGUUUUUCCUUUAUAUAUGUUUCUUAUUUGAUAAAUACUCACAGAAAUUUUAGAGCAAAAAUAAUUGUGUUUUUUUUAUAAAAGGGAUGCAUGAUUGAUGCAACAAUUCCUUACAUUAGAUAUGAUCAACCAUUUCAUAAUAUAAUAAUAGAGGGUAACUGGUAUCUACUGAAGAAUUUUCACAUUUCCCUUAAUGAUUUACCCAUCAGAAAUUCACAUCAUCAUCUAAAAUUAACUAUUGUAUCAAACACAUUUAUGAAUGAGGUUAACGAAAAAUCUCGUAGUGAUUUUUCAACUUCACUUCACAUACCAAAAUUUGGACUGCCCAAGAGGAAGACAAAAAAUUUUGCGUAGAUAUGUUAUCAAUAUAAUAUUGUAUUUAAACAGAAAAAAUCUUGAUGUAUUACAUAGGCUAAAAAUUCAAUAUUUGAACGUUUGUUAUAUAAACUACAACUCGUCUCCUAAUAAAAAUGCAGAUGUGUGUGGAAUUUUAUCUAAUGUGUCUAAAAUCCGUGAAAUUAAUUGGGUGGACGGAGAAAAUGGGUAUAGGUAGCCCUGGGCAAAAAGCCCGUACCCGAAGCCCAAACCCGAGCCCGGCCCGUUAGGCCCGUACCGAACCCAAACCCGAUUAAAGAAGAUACCCGAUCGGGUUUUGGUUUUGAAACUUUCGGGUUCGGGUUCGGGUUCGGGUAAACCCGAAAACCCGAACAUAUCC
RNAcentral lists this long non-coding RNA (984 nucleotides) under Capsella rubella. RNAcentral's name for it is "long non-coding RNA (CRUB_LNC003836)". Lineage: Eukaryota; Viridiplantae; Streptophyta; Magnoliopsida; Brassicales; Brassicaceae. The record is from RNAcentral.